ACGUACACUCCUACGGAGGCAGCAGUGGGGAAUUUUAGACAAUGGGCGAAAGCCUGAUCCAGCAAUGCCGCGUGAGUGAAGAAGGCCUUCGGGUUGUAAAGCUCUUUUGUCAGGGAAGAAACGGUGAGAGCUAAUAUCUUUUGCUAAUGACGGUACCUGAAGAAUAAGCACCGGCUAACUACGUGCCAGCAGCCGCGGUAAUACGUAGGGUGCAAGCGUUAAUCGGAAUUACUGGGCGUAAAGCGUGCGCAGGCGGUUUUGUAAGUCUGAUGUGAAAUCCCCGGGCUCAACCUGGGAAUUGCAUUGGAGACUGCAAGGCUAGAAUCUGGCAGAGGGGGGUAGAAUUCCACGUGUAGCAGUGAAAUGCGUAGAUAUGUGGAGGAACACCGAUGGCGAAGGCAGCCCCCUGGGUCAAGAUUGACGCUCAUGCACGAAAGCGUGGGGAGCAAACAGGAUUAGAAACCCGAGUAGUCCCAUGA
This 479-nucleotide ribosomal RNA is filed under the name uncultured organism. RNAcentral's name for it is "partial 16S ribosomal RNA". It matches the Rfam family "Bacterial small subunit ribosomal RNA", at positions 329 to 800 of the family's 1533-position model. The record is from RNAcentral.